This 207-nucleotide long non-coding RNA is filed under the name Vigna radiata. RNAcentral describes it as "long non-coding RNA (VRAD_LNC017429)". The record is from RNAcentral. Lineage: Eukaryota; Viridiplantae; Streptophyta; Magnoliopsida; Fabales; Fabaceae.
GGCAAAGGGGAAAAGAGGGCUUUCUUACCGGUUGGACGAAACGGAGAUUCAAUCGGUGGGAAAUGCUCCUCUUGCAGUCCUAAAAGCUUGGGUAGCUUCAAUUUGAAAUUCAAACGGUUAGAAUUUGAGUAGUGGUGCUUGAAAGGUAAGGCAAUGGAGGAAAAGUAGAAGAAGAAGAUGGUGGCUGUUUUAGAAAAUGACUAAGUU